AUGCUAAACAGGUUGCCCGGCCCUCCCGUCAAGCAUGGCCCUGGAUUCAGGCAAGGGGACCCCCUCUUCCCACUCCUCUUCAUCCUGGCAAUUGACCCCUUGCAUAAGAUUCUAGACUUGGCGACGCGAAAAUGGCUCCUCCAUAAGAUACGUGGGCGGGGUGCCAUGGUGGGCAUCUCCCUCUAUGUGGAUGACGCGGCGGUCUUUGUGGCCCCCAUCAAGCGGGACAUCGACAAUCUUGCCUCUAUCCCGAGAGGCUUUGGGGACGUCACAGGCCUUUGUUCCAACUUCAAAAAAAGCUCGGUUGUGCCUAUUCGUUGCAAUCACCUUGACCUUGAGCGAAUUCUUCAGAGCAUGCCGGCAGCAUGUGCCACUUUUCCGGUCAAAUACCUAGGCUACCACUCUCACUUUGGCAACUGA
This 420-nucleotide ribosomal RNA is filed under the name Triticum aestivum (bread wheat). Its description in RNAcentral is "partial small subunit ribosomal RNA". The record is from RNAcentral. Lineage: Eukaryota; Viridiplantae; Streptophyta; Magnoliopsida; Poales; Poaceae.